This 329-nucleotide unclassified non-coding RNA is filed under the name soil metagenome. RNAcentral describes it as "partial contains 5.8S ribosomal RNA, internal transcribed spacer 2, and large subunit ribosomal RNA". The stretch from base 1 to 120 matches the Rfam family "5.8S ribosomal RNA", at positions 35 to 154 of the family's 154-position model. The record is from RNAcentral.
GAUGAAGAACGUAGCGAAAUGCGAUAAGUAAUGUGAAUUGCAGAAUUCAGUGAAUCAUCGACUCUUUGAACGCACAUUGCGCCCCCUGGUAUUCCGGGGGGCAUGCCUGUUCGAGCGUCAUUACAACCCUCAAGCUCUGCUUGGUGUUGGGCCCCGCCGCCCCGGCGGGCCCUAAAAUCAGUGGCGGUGCCGUCCGGCUCCGAGCGUAGUAAUUCUUCUCGCUCUGGAGGUCCGGGUGUGUGCUCGCCAGCAACCCCCAAUUUUUUUCAGGUUGACCUCGGAUCAGGUAGGGAUACCCGCUGAACUUAAGCAUAUCAAUAAGCGGAGGA